ACAGGGAUUGCCUUAGUAGCGGCGAGUGAAGCGGCAAUAGCUCAAAUUUGAAAUCUGGCACCUUCGGUGUCCGAGUUGUAAUUUGAAGAAGGUAUCUUUGGUUUUGGCUCUUGUCUAUGUUCCUUGGAACAGGACGUCACAGAGGGUGAGAAUCCCGUGCGAUGAGAUGCCCAAUUCCAUGUAAAGUUCCUUCGACGAGUCGAGUUGUUUGGGAAUGCAGCUCUAAGUGGGUGGUAAAUUCCAUCUAAAGCUAAAUAUUGGCGAGAGACCGAUAGCGAACAAGUACUGUGAAGGAAAGAUGAAAAGAACUUUGAAAAGAGAGUGAAAAAGUACGUGAAAUUGUUGAAAGGGAAGGGCUUGAGAUUAGACUUGGAAUUUUCCAUUUAUGGAGCUUUCCGGGCCAGCAUCAGUUUGGAUGGCAGGAUAAUUGCGUUGGAAAGUAGCACCACUUCGGUGGUGUGUUAUAGACUUCGUCGAUACUGCCUAUCUAGACUGAGGACCGCGUCUUUGACUAGGAUGC
RNAcentral lists this ribosomal RNA (520 nucleotides) under Yamadazyma membranifaciens. RNAcentral describes it as "eukaryotic LSU rRNA". It matches the Rfam family "Eukaryotic large subunit ribosomal RNA", at positions 68 to 626 of the family's 3401-position model. Lineage: Eukaryota; Fungi; Ascomycota; Pichiomycetes; Serinales; Debaryomycetaceae. The record is from RNAcentral.